UGCUUCUGGAAGCUUUGUUCUUUAAUGAGCCAUAGGGUGAUUUGUUCAUCAAGCUGCUUUUGUGUAGCCAUACAGUGCAUAUUUUGAGUGACACAAACUGCACUUUAUACAGAUGAUGUCUUGUUACCCCUCAACCCCCCGCAAAGAAAAAAAACAAAAAGGAAAUUACAAAGUGCCUGUUGAUUGCAUCCGGAAUGUAAUCAGUUCCGUGGGUGAGACAAAUCAUUCUUCUUAUAGAAUUAUUCUAUUAAACAGUAAAAUGUUAUAUUUCACAGGAUAUGUCCUUUUAUAAUACAGUUCUUUAAAAAUUUACACUCAGCAUACUUAUAAAUUACUUAAAAUCCAUUAAAUAUAAUACUAAUCUGUAGUCCACACCUUUCCCAUAGUAAAUACAAAUACUUGUGGUUCAAAAGGUGCAACUUUUAUAUGACCUCAGAGGGCUGAUAAAUAGGCAUUAAGAAUGGAUGACUAGCAAGGUGACAGGCCCAUUGUGGGGGCUUUUUUGAAAAAAGUUUCAACCAGGGGACCAAUAUGAGACCUAACAGAUCCAUCUCCACAAUCAUCAUUUUGCUGUUACCCUUUCAAUACCAAAUUAAAUGUGGGAGUCAUUCCAGAGAAAAGUGUUUGUUAAAAGUAGUCUAGGGCACAAAAAGAGAGGACUCCCACAGAUACCACGGAGUUUUACUACCAAGUCCAGCAUGGUAUUGGGGGACAGUGCUGGGGAGUUGUCACAAGAGUAUGGGUGGACGUAACACAUUUGUCCAUACAGAAUGAUGCAUGUCCCGCAUCCAGCUUCCCACCAAGAAGAAAAAAGAGAGGAGGAUGAGGAAAGCCAUAGAGUAUGUUUCUUUUUAAAAUGAAAACUCUCUUAGCUUUGAAUACAUCCUGAGAAUCCUUUCUUCUUUCUAGUUUACCAAAGUGCUUGUUACAGUUAAAAACACAGACCACAGGCACUGAGGUGGGACUAUAGAACCCUGCUGGACCACAUCUUUUCAGCACACUUCUGACCCUCUGUUUUUGUGACCCUCUGUUUUGGAUGGUGAAAACAACUCUACCGUUAUGAAACACAGAACGGAGUCUGCAUUAAUCUUCCAGCAGGAUAAGUGCUCUGGCAGGUUUCCAAAGCAAGAGAAGAUGGGGGCUCUAGUAUUCCAUCCCAGGACCUCUGGCCCUUUUGUCUCUCUCUGCAAGGCUCAUAGUUGGAGGGCUGUAUCUCCCUUUGUGUUUUCAGAAGCCCAGAGUGGCAAAAUAAUUUAAAUGGCAGGAGGUACAAAAUACGUUGUAAACUAAGCCUCCCUGAAUCCUGCUGGAUUUGCUGUUAAUUUGCUUCAAUUUGUGAUACAGAAUGAAAUCACACUUCUCUGCUUUUGUUACAUUUUCCAUAAUAAGUACAUACUAAAUUACAGGAAUACAUUCACUUUAAUGGGCAGAGUUGAAAAUUCAGGUUUUGUUUGGGGCUGGGAAUGUGUGCUAGAAGUAGAGUGCUCUGCAUUUUGGAGUAUGGGCUCCAAAUGUGGAGCUGCCCCACUGCUGCCAUGCAGAUC
This 1544-nucleotide long non-coding RNA is filed under the name Macaca fascicularis (crab-eating macaque). RNAcentral describes it as "lncRNA (ENSMFAG00000051901.1)". The record is from RNAcentral. Lineage: Eukaryota; Metazoa; Chordata; Mammalia; Primates; Cercopithecidae.